Molecule: ribosomal RNA, 272 nt
Filed under: uncultured Staphylococcus sp.
Lineage: Bacteria; Bacillati; Bacillota; Bacilli; Caryophanales; Staphylococcaceae
Description: partial 16S ribosomal RNA
Rfam family: Bacterial small subunit ribosomal RNA
Source: RNAcentral
ACGUUAGCGGCGGACGGGUGAGUAACACGUGGGUAACCUACCUAUAAGACUGGGAUAACUCCGGGAAACCGGGGCUAAUACCGGAUAACACAUGAAACCGCAUGGUUUCAUGAUGAAAGACGGUUUUGCUGUCACUUAUAGAUGGACCCGCGGCGUAUUAGCUAGUUGGUAAGGUAACGGCUUACCAAGGCAACGAUACGUAGCCGACCUGAGAGGGUGAUCGGCCACACUGAAACUGAGACACGGUCCAGACUCCUACGGGAGGCAGCAGC